CCAAUAGCGUAUAUUAAGGUUGCUGCGGUUAAAAAGCUCGUAGUUGAAUUUCGGGAUUGAUGCAUCGGUCGUGCCUUAAGGGGUAUGAACUGGUGUAGCCAAUUUCUUACCUUCUGGUGAAUUGUGAUGUCCUCCUUAUUAAUUGGGUGUUUCAAUGAACUAGGACUUUUUACUUUGAAAAAAUUAGAGUGUUUAAAGCAGGCAUUAUUUGCUUGAAUACAUUAGCGUGGAAUAAUAAAAUAGGACAAUGAUUCUAUUUUGUUGGUUUCUAGGAUCACUGUAAUGAUUAAUAGGGAUAGUUGGGGGCAUUAGUAUUCAAUUGUCAGAGGUGAAAUUCUUGGAUUAAUUGAAGACUAACUACUGCGAAAGCAUUUGCCAAGGAUAUUUUCAUUAAUCAAGAACGAAAGUUAGGGGAUCGAAGACGAUUAGGUACGUCGUAGUCUUAACCAUAAACUAUGCCGACUAGGAAUCAGACAACGUUAGAUUUUUAAUGACUUGUUUGGCACCUUACG
This 512-nucleotide ribosomal RNA is filed under the name uncultured Glomeromycotina. RNAcentral describes it as "partial small subunit ribosomal RNA". It matches the Rfam family "Eukaryotic small subunit ribosomal RNA", at positions 591 to 1092 of the family's 1831-position model. Lineage: Eukaryota; Fungi; Glomeromycota. The record is from RNAcentral.